UACGUAGGCGGAAAAUUAAGUCAGUAGUGAAAUCCUGCAGCUUAACUGUAGAACUGUUAUUGAUACUGGUUUUCUUGAAUAUAGUUGAGGCAGGCGGAAUGUGUAAUGUAGCGGUGAAAUGCUUAGAUAUUACACAGAACACCGAUUGCGAAGGCAGCUUACUAAGCUAUGAUUGACGCUGAGGUACGAAAGCGUGGGGAGCGAACAGGAUUAGAUACCCUGGUAGUCC
RNAcentral lists this ribosomal RNA (229 nucleotides) under uncultured bacterium. RNAcentral describes it as "partial 16S ribosomal RNA". It matches the Rfam family "Bacterial small subunit ribosomal RNA", at positions 568 to 796 of the family's 1533-position model. The record is from RNAcentral.